RNAcentral lists this ribosomal RNA (329 nucleotides) under uncultured eukaryote. Its description in RNAcentral is "partial 18S ribosomal RNA". It matches the Rfam family "Eukaryotic small subunit ribosomal RNA", at positions 1470 to 1796 of the family's 1831-position model. The record is from RNAcentral.
CCCUUAGAUGUCCUGGGCCGCACGCGCGCUACACUGAGUGUCUGAGAUACGAGUCUGCCUGGUCCGGCAAGGUCUAGGUAAUCGCUAAAAGACACAUCAUGCUGGGGAUAGAUUAUUGCAAAUAUUAAUCUUGAACGAGGAAUUCCUAGUAAGCGCAAGUCAACAGCUUGCGUUGAUUACGUCCCUGCCCUUUGUACACACCGCCCGUCGCUACUACUGAUUGGAUGUUUAAGCGAGGUUCUCGAACUGCUAGCGACUUAGCUUCGGUGAGGUCGCAGUGCGGGAAGUGAACCUAGCUUUGGUGUCUAGAGGAAGUAAAAGUCGUAACA